GAUGUACGCUGGCGGCGUGCCUAAUACAUGCAAGUCGAGCGAACGGACGAGAAGCUUGCUUCUCUGAUGUUAGCGGCGGACGGGUGAGUAACACGUGGAUAACCUACCUAUAAGACUGGGAUAACUUCGGGAAACCGGAGCUAAUACCGGAUAAUAUUUUGAACCGCAUGGUUCAAAAGUAAAAGACGGUCUUGCUGUCACUUAUAGAUGGAUCCGCGCUGCAUUAGCUAGUUGGUAAGGUAACGGCUUACCAAGGCAACGAUGCAUAGCCGACCUGAGAGGGUGAUCGGCCACACUGGAACUGAGACACGGUCCAGACUCCUACGGGAGGCAGCAGUAGGGAAUCUUCCGCAAUGGGCGAAAGCCUGACGGAGCAACGCCGCGUGAGUGAUGAAGGUCUUCGGAUCGUAAAACUCUGUUAUUAGGGAAGAACAUAUGUGUAAGUAACUGUGCACAUCUUGACGGUACCUAAUCAGAAAGCCACGGCUAACUACGUG
This 497-nucleotide ribosomal RNA is filed under the name uncultured bacterium. Its description in RNAcentral is "partial 16S ribosomal RNA". It matches the Rfam family "Bacterial small subunit ribosomal RNA", at positions 28 to 507 of the family's 1533-position model. The record is from RNAcentral.